Molecule: ribosomal RNA, 284 nt
Filed under: uncultured bacterium
Lineage: Bacteria
Description: partial 16S ribosomal RNA
Rfam family: Bacterial small subunit ribosomal RNA (bases 42-284)
Source: RNAcentral
ACUACGGAGGGGUAGCGUUCGUUACGGAACUUAACUCGGGCGGGUAAAGACGGCGCGUAGGCGGAUUGGAAAGUUGGGGGUGAAAUACCCGGGGCUCAACCCCCGGAACUGCCUCCAAAACUUCCAGUCUGGAGUUCGAGAGAGGUGAGUGGAAUUCCGAGUGUAGAGGUGAAAUUCGUAGAUAUUCGGAGGAAACACCAGUGGCGAAGGCGGCUCACUGGCUCGUAUACUGACGCUGAGGUGCGAAAGUGUGGGGAGCAAACAGGAUUAGAUACCCCCGUAGU